RNAcentral lists this ribosomal RNA (860 nucleotides) under marine metagenome. RNAcentral describes it as "bacterial SSU rRNA". It matches the Rfam family "Bacterial small subunit ribosomal RNA", at positions 509 to 1367 of the family's 1533-position model. The record is from RNAcentral.
CAGCAGCCGCGGUAAUACGGAGGGGGCAAGCGUUGUUCGGAAUUACUGGGCGUAAAGAGCGAGCAGGUGGUUCAUUAAGUCAAUUGUGAAAGCUCAAGGCUUAACCUUGAAAUUGCUUUUGAUACUGAUGAACUAGAGUUUGGGAGAGGAUAGUGGAAUUCUAAGUGUAGAAGUGAAAUUCGUAGAUAUUUAGAGGAACACCGAUAGCGAAGGCAACUAUCUGGCCCUUUACUGACACUCAGAAGCGAAAGCUUGGGUAGCAAACAGGAUUAGAUACCCUGGUAGUCCAUGCUGUAAACGAUGAGUGCUAGAUGUUAGAAGUUUACUUCUAGUAUCGAAGCUAACGCGUUAAGCACUCCGCCUGGGGAGUACGGCCGCAAGGCUAAAACUCAAAUGAAUUGACGGGGACCCGCACAAGCAGUGGAGCAUGUGGUUUAAUUCGACGCUACGCGAAGAACCUUACCAGCUCUUGACAUGCUAAGUUUUAAAUUUAAGAGAUUAAAUUUUUCAGUUCGGCUGGGCUUAGUACAGGUGCUGCAUGGCUGUCGUCAGCUCGUGUCGUGAGAUGUUCGGUUAAGUCCGGCAACGAGCGCAACCCUCAUCUUCAGUUACUAACAGGUUAAGCUGAGGACUCUGGAGAAACUGCCGUUGGAAAAGCGGAGGAAGGCGAGGAUGACGUCAAGUCCUCAUGGCCCUUAUGGGCUGGGCUACACACGUGCUACAAUGGUAAUUACAAAAAGUCGCGAAAUGGCAACAUUGAGCUAAUCUUUAAAAAUUAUCUUAGUUCAGAUUGUUCUCUGCAACUCGAGAGCAUGAAGUUGGAAUUGCUAGUAAUCGUGGAUCAGCAUGCCACGGUGAAU